GCGAUCGCUUUGAAGCUACCCUCUUUCCCCUCCCGGCUUCCCGCGUUGUACGCGGUGCCUGUCUCUGGGGUCCUCUCCUGGCCUCUACCCCGAGUCUUGCUUCCCGCUCUGCCGCCUCCAUCGUGAGGAACUAUGAAUGGGACGGCUGAUUUUCGAGAGCCGAAUGCGCAAGUGUCAAGACCAAUUCCUGACAUAGGGGCUGCUUAUAUCCCGACCGAGGAAGAGUGGAGACUCUUUGCAGAGUGCCAUGAAGAAUGCUUCUGGUACAGAUCUGUGCCAUUGGCUGCCACAAGUAUGCUGAUUACUCAAGGAUUAAUCAGUAAAGGAAUCCUGUCAAGUCAUCCAAAAUAUGGUUCCAUUCCUAAACUUAUAUUUGCUUGUAUCAUGGGAUACUUUGCUGGAAAGCUUUCUUACGUGAAAACUUGCCAAGAGAAGUUCAAGAAACUUGAGAACUCCCCCCUUGGAGAAGCACUGCGGUCAGGUGAACUGCGACGCUCUUCAUCACCUGGGAACUAUGCUCAAAAGUCUAAAUAUGACUCAAAUGUGAGUGGUCAGUCCACCUUUGGGUCAUCUCCAGCAGCAGACAACAUAGAAAAGGAGACGCUCCCUCGUUACGAGCCAAUUCCAUUCAGUGCUUCUAUGACCGAGUCCACUCCCACUGGUAUUACUGACCAUAUUGCCCAAGGACCUGAUCCCAACCUUGAAGAAAGUCCCCAAAGAAAAAGUGUUACAUAUGAGGAAUUAAGGAGUAAGAACAGAGAGUCAUAUGGAGUAAUUUUACCCCACAAGACUGACCCCUCAGUCAGGCCUGUGCAGGAAAGAGUGCCCAGAAAAGAAGUCAAAGUAAACAAAUAUGGAGAUACUUGGGAUGAGUGAAAGAUGCCAUCAUUGGACCUACUGAAGGCCUUCCACACCCAGCUUCAUCCAGGCGGUCGUUUGUACCUACAUGCUUGGACUCAGCAGCACAUUUCAUAAAUACAUUUAAAACGAAAAAAAAAAAAA
Molecule: RNA transcript, 1002 nt
Organism: Grammomys surdaster
Lineage: Eukaryota; Metazoa; Chordata; Mammalia; Rodentia; Muridae
Gene name: OCIA domain-containing protein 1 pseudogene
Exons: 1
Source: RefSeq, a predicted model, not a curated record